AUGAGGGAAACAGACUAUGUGCAAAUUUAUUUCCCCUGCCGCAACAGAGGUCAAUUGAUCACUUUCCAUGGGUUUUUACAAAUGGUUAAUUUAUACCUAUAUGGAGUAUGUAAUGUUAGUGUAAGUUCUUCCUUGGUUAGUAACAAAAUUGUCACAGUUAAAUACUGCAGUGAAAGUACUUCUACAGGACCUUUUUUUUGUUGUGAAUUUUCAGUAAAGGUGAAACCUGUUCCGAAAAACUCACUCAGCGCUAAUAUGUUGAAUUGCACUGAUGCAUUGUUUGAUUUUACAGUUAGUACUGAUGUUAGAGUACGUAAUGGGCCUGGGCCCGUUAGUCUUAGGGUUAAUUAG
RNAcentral lists this ribosomal RNA (351 nucleotides) under Triticum aestivum (bread wheat). RNAcentral describes it as "partial small subunit ribosomal RNA". The record is from RNAcentral. Lineage: Eukaryota; Viridiplantae; Streptophyta; Magnoliopsida; Poales; Poaceae.